AUUGAACGCUGGCGGCAGGCUUAACACAUGCAAGUCGAGCGGAGAGAGGUAGCUUGCUACUGAUCUUAGCGGCGGACGGGUGAGUGAUGCUUAGGAAUCUGCCUAUUAGUGGGGGACAACAUUUCGAAAGGAAUGCUAAUACCGCAUACGUCCUACGGGAGAAAGCAGGGGAUCUUCGGACCUUGCGCUAAUAGAUGAGCCUAAGUCGGAUUAGCUAGUUGGUGGGGUAAAGGCCUACCAAGGCGACGAUCUGUAGCGGGUCUGAGAGGAUGAUCCGCCACACUGGGACUGAGACACGGCCCAGACUCCUACGGGAGGCAGCAGUGGGGAAUAUUGGACAAUGGGCGGAAGCCUGAUCCAGCCAUGCCGCGUGUGUGAAGAAGGCCUUAUGGUUGUAAAGCACUUUAAGCGAGGAGGAGGCUACUUUAGUUAAUACCUAGAGAUAGUGGACGUUACUCGCAGAAUAAGUACCGGCUAACUCUGUGCCAGCCGCCGCUGUAA
Molecule: ribosomal RNA, 501 nt
Filed under: uncultured bacterium
Lineage: Bacteria
Description: partial 16S ribosomal RNA
Rfam family: Bacterial small subunit ribosomal RNA
Source: RNAcentral